Molecule: non-coding RNA, 73 nt
Organism: Potamilus streckersoni
Lineage: Eukaryota; Metazoa; Mollusca; Bivalvia; Unionida; Unionidae
Source: the annotation of a GenBank genome assembly
UUCCCGUGGCUUAGUGGUAAGAGUGUCCUCCUUGGAUGCGGAAGGUCGUGGAUUCGAUCCCCAGUCGAGUCAU